GAGCUACUCCCUCCGUUCGGAAUUACUUGUCUCGGAAAUGGAUGUAUCCAAAACUAAAAUACGUCUAAAUACAUCCAUUUUUGUGACAAGUAAAUCCGAACGGAGGGAGUAGAAA
This is a non-coding RNA of Triticum aestivum (bread wheat), 115 nucleotides long. The record is from Rfam. Lineage: Eukaryota; Viridiplantae; Streptophyta; Magnoliopsida; Poales; Poaceae.